This 497-nucleotide ribosomal RNA is filed under the name uncultured bacterium. Its description in RNAcentral is "partial 16S ribosomal RNA". It matches the Rfam family "Bacterial small subunit ribosomal RNA", at positions 28 to 507 of the family's 1533-position model. The record is from RNAcentral.
GAUGAACGCUGGCGGCGUGCCUAAUACAUGCCAGUCGAGCGAACGGACGAGAAGCUUGCUUCUCUGAUGUUAGCGGCGGACGGGUGAGUAACACGUGGAUAACCUACCUAUAAGACUGGGAUAACUUCGGGAAACCGGAGCUAAUACCGGAUAAUAUUUUGAACCGCAUGGUUCAAAAGUGAAAGACGGUCUUGCUGUCACUUAUAGAUGGAUCCGCGCUGCAUUAGCUAGUUGGUAAGGUAACGGCUUACCAAGGCAACGAUGCAUAGCCGACCUGAGAGGGUGAUCGGCCACACUGGAACUGAGACACGGUCCAGACUCCUACGGGAGGCAGCAGUAGGGAAUCUUCCGCAAUGGGCGAAAGCCUGAUGGAGCAACGCCGCGUGAGUGAUGAAGGUCUUCGGAUCGUAAAACUCUGUUAUUAGGGAAGAACAUAUGUGUAAGUAACUGUGCACAUCUUGACGGUACCUAAUCAGAAAGCCACGGCUAACUACGUG